GUGGGGAAUCUUGCGCAAUGGGCGAAAGCCUGACGCAGCCAUGCCGCGUGAAUGAUGAAGGUCUUAGGAUUGUAAAAUUCUUUCACCGGGGACGAUAAUGACGGUACCCGGAGAAGAAGCUCCGGCUAACUUCGUGCCAGCAGCCGCGGUAAUACGAAGGGGGCUAGCGUUGCUCGGAUUUACUGGGCGGAAAGGGCGCGUAGGCGGACAUUUAAGUCAGGGGUGAAAUCCCGGGGCUCAACCUCGGAACUGCCUUUGAUAGUGGGUGUCUUGAGUAUGAGAGAAGUGUGUGGAAAUCCGAGUGUAGAGGUGAAAUUCGUAGAUAUUCGGAAGAACACCAGUGGCGAAGGCGACACACUGGCUCAUUACUGACGCUGAGGCGCGAAAGCGUGGGGAGCAAACAGGAUUAGAUACCCGAGUAGUCC
RNAcentral lists this ribosomal RNA (425 nucleotides) under uncultured bacterium. Its description in RNAcentral is "partial 16S ribosomal RNA". It matches the Rfam family "Bacterial small subunit ribosomal RNA", at positions 354 to 796 of the family's 1533-position model. The record is from RNAcentral.